Molecule: long non-coding RNA, 400 nt
Organism: Nyctereutes procyonoides (raccoon dog)
Lineage: Eukaryota; Metazoa; Chordata; Mammalia; Carnivora; Canidae
Exons: 3
Source: RefSeq, a predicted model, not a curated record
AAGAAAGCGAUCUGAUGUUCUUCAAGCCUCCAUAACCUUCCACAGAAAGGAGGGAAGCGUGAGCUCUGUGCAGCUAAGAAUCCGGCUUUUAAUUAUAUCUUUCUUGUGUUUACAUGAACUUUAGUUUGCAUUUCAGAAGCCUUAUGGAAAGAUUCCUGCGGCGGACCCUGGAGUAGUGGCGAAUUUCUCCAUCAAGAUGAAGGACGUGUGUCUCUCCUGGAGUGACUCAGCAAAGCCAACUGCCGCAGAAUCCUCAGGAAGUGCCUACUGGGUUAAAAGAAACCUCAUAGCUGCUCUGUGCUGCCUUUAUUACUGGUUAUGGACCACCUUCGUGGAGCGACUCGAGGUCUCCACAGGAAAGAUUGGUGUUUGGCUUCCUGGAAAGAAAAAAAAAAAAGAC